AUAACCUUACAUUACAUCAUGUCCACAACUAUUCUAUUACAUAAUCAUGACCAUGGACGUAACCUGCUGAUCUCCUGACUAUCUCUAUCUACUCUGCACCUGCAAGACUGGGGUUAGGGGAGAGGGGUGAGCUAGAAAGCCCAGUGAGCAGAAACUAAAAAUAUUUGCUUUAAUUCCUCCAUUUUUAGGUAUCUUAUUGUUCAUUUUAUUAUUAUUGUAGUUCCUCCAUUUUUAGGUAUCUUAUUAAGUAACUUUUUCUUGUUCAUGCUUUCAUGAAAUGCAACACAUCACAAACAUAUCACAUCAAGGAUGAAUUUGUCACCUAUAGCCCUCUACAUACUGUAGUACGUCCAACUAUACCAGGGGCGAUGAGGCCACACCUAGUAUUCGCUUACAUAACUCAUAUCAUAACAAGUCCAACUACACCAGGGGCGAUUAGGCCUCACCUAGUGUUCGCUUACAUAACAUAGUACCAGGGGCGACCUGGUCUUUCUGUCUCAUAUCAUACCAUGGCAUAUCAUAUCAUAUUAUCUCAUCUCAUACUGAGGGCUAAGGAUCAUCCAACAUCCAUCCACAUCAACAACAUAUUAUGCAAUGCAUCAUAUUCGUGAGUUCUAAUGCAAAACAACCUAAUACAUAUAUCAUGGCAUUUAUGAUGCAUGGAUCAUGCUCUAAAAACAUUUAAUUUCUUAGUUUAAAACAUUAGGUUUAGUUCCACUCACCUGAGACUAGCUCUGCACCGAUUCUGAAAUGGUUGACACUGCUAAACACUUUGGUUCCUUGGGUCCAAUCCUACACAGGUGGACUCCAGUGAGAGACCAAACAUACAUAAACAUAACUCUACUAUACUCCCCAAAAACCCCCUAAAUCAUCCUGAAAACAUCACAUAAAAACAUGCAAGAAAAGUCUGGACAGGGCACUUUCGGCGGCACCUUCGGCGGCCGAAAGUCCAGACAGAUCCGAAAGUCAGGCAGGUUCGGCGGCACCUUCGGCGGCCGAAACUCCCAGACAGAGACGAAACUCAUGCAUGUUCGGCGGCACCUUCGGCGGCCGAAAGUCUCGGACAGAGCCGAAACUCCAACUUUCGGGGGCAGGCUUCGGCAGCCUAAAGCUGCCUCCCAGGCUGGUUCGGCGGCCGAAAGUCCCUUCGGCUGCCGAACCUGGUUUCUGCCAAAGGGCAGAAACUUGGUUCUUCUUGCCCAUUCCAACCCCCUUCACAACCAAUCAUGCAAAGACCUAUUCUACAACAUGCAUACUCAAGCAUACAAGCUCCUAAGGGUCUCAAACUAACUUAAACCCCAACUACAACACACAAACAAGGCACAUUGCUCAAGAACAUGCACAUUGAACCCAUAAACAUAAAAGAAACUUCAACAAGCCUUCUCAUGCUUUUCUACCCCAUAGAUCUACUUAAAACUUUCUUAAAACAUGCAAGAGAGGUUGGAUCUAAGCUUACCUCUUGAAGAUCGAGAGGAAGAACGAUCCUAGCUUGGAGGUAGGGAGAAAUCCGCUCUUUGGUCUCCAAGCUUCCAAUCUUACUCUAACUUCAAAACUCUUCAAAAACAAGAUGUAACUUGUUAAAAUCUGAAAGAUUUGAGGGAAAACACUUAAAAUGACCAAAGGAGGGCUAGAGCUCACCGUCGGCCGAAAUGGGAGAGGAAACCUCGCCUGUUUCGGUCACGGGGCCUUUUAUAGGGCUGGUUCUGCCACCUUUCGGCGGCCUAACGUGCCCCCACAUCUCAUGCAUGUUCGGCGGCCGAACCUUAAGUCUUUCAAACAAGGCUUUCGGGGGCCAAAGGCGCUCCCAAAACCUAUCCAUGUUCGGCGGCCGAACUUAACUUUCGGCGGCCGAACCUGGUAAAGCCUCCUUAGGCCUUUUUUUUCAUUCAAAACUCAUUUUCCUUUUUACUUAAAACAUAAAAUACCUUAAAAACAUUUCAUAAAACAUGGUUUUCCCCUUCUAGAGGUUUCCGACAUCCGAGAUUCCACCGGACGGUAGGAAUUCCGAUACCGGAGUCUAGCCGGGUAUUACAGACAUAAACUAAAACCAACAUAGAAAAGUGCUAACCCUAAUUACACCCAAAUAUCAAGCAAAAACAUGUAAUUCAACUAGUUAGAAGAGAAAUAUGUGAUGAUAUAAGUAGAAUUAAGUUGUAAGAAAAAUUUUGGCUUGCUCACAAACUUUUUGGAAAGUUGAAUUUAGUCCCAUUCUAAUUCAUAUCGUAGAUUACUCUUUAGUCCCUUUUUUUCAUUGUAUGAAACCAGAACAAAGAAUUAACCAAGAAAAAAAAAAUAUAACUUACAAGUUGUGAAAAUUUAAAGGAUAUAUAAAUUUAUUUCAGCAUAUGAUUUAAUACCAAACUAAUGCAGAACCUAAAAUCAACUUUUGAUAAAAAAAAAAAAAAAGAAAUCUGGUCACAGAAUAAUGGCAUAAAUGUUGAGUUUUAAUCGGAUUGAACGCAGUGGAACAAAUAGAAAAAUAAAAUUUUUCACCAACAUGGAUCACGUUUAAAUGAAAAAAAAAAUAUUUAAAGAGAAAAUAAAUACUUUUUAUUUUUCUUGCAAGAAAACACAAGAUUGUUCGCCUUGGUUGGAUUUUCAUAAACUACAAACCGUCCAAAUGUUCGGUUUCUAACGAUAUCCACACAGAAUGACAAUCGAAAAACCUUAGAGCAGCUCUAAGGAAUUGAGAAGGGGAGAGGUUUUGAGUGCUAACUCUCUGCCUUUCCAAUAAAUUCUGAAAACUCUCAAAAAGGGUUUUUACCAGUAGUCACACAGGUUCUCAUAACAUGCUCUUAAUAUUAAAACCUUAGGAUUUCAGUAUAAUAAUAUUUAUUUAUUUAACUAAUUAAAUAAAUAAAUUAUAAUCAUGGUCCCAAAAUUUAAUAAACAGGCCAUAUAAAUUUUAGAGAAUUUUAAUUAAGUCCCUACUUAAUUAAUUAGAUCAAAUCGUAGUUCUUUCAAAUUACAAUUUUAUUCAAAUAUCAAUUUAUAUACAAUCAAGUCCUACUUGAUUUAACUUUUUUGUUUUAUUUUCUCAUGUAAUUCUUUAUACGUGUCACCCAUUAGAUUCCAAAUAUGUUGGCAACAAAUUUAAUUAAUUAAUUAAUUAAAUUGAAAGUCAAGAACAUUAUCUAACAAUAUGUAAAGACUACCCAAAUAUUUGGAAUGUCAAAAGUAGUUGGACUUAGCUUUUCAGUGCAUAGUUUGUCAAUGUAAUUAAUAUCCCUUCAUUACAAAUAUCCCGAUUUAACAUUUGAUGCAUAGAACGUGUCUACAAUGUUAAAUCAUAUUAGUUCUCAUUUAUUAGCCAUUGAUCUAUUAAAUGAAAUUUCAAAUCUCAUUUGCUAACUUCAUUCCACCUUACGCGAGGAUUUCAUGAUCAAUGCUAGCAAAGAACAAAUGAGAUAUUUCCUAAUUUAACUUAGGGUGAUGAAUCCUAUCUUAAUCACAUAAACACCUUCAUACAGUUCUUAAAAUAUCCAAUUCAUCCUCAUUUGUUACUUAUGAACCAAGCAAUGUGUAAGAUGAAUAAAAUAAAUACCUACAUAUUAGUUCUAGAUAUCUCGCAUAUCUCAACCUAUGAGAUCAUUUUUUUCUUCUAAAAGGAAAGAAUAUAAUAUCCACUAGUCUCAAUAGCUCUAAUUAUUGUCCAAUCAUGAUAAGAAUAUCGACUAGGAACAUUUGGAGACGUUAUUUAAAUCCAAUAGGAAUCUCACAAUUAUAACCACAUUAUUAUUUGCUUUGCACAGUAAUAUAGUCUCAUAAACAUUAUCUUUACUCGAGAUUCAAUUAAAUUAGCACUAGAGAUAAAUAACUGACUUUAUAAAAUUAUAUUUAAAUACUUAAAAUACAUGAAUAAUAUAUUCAACUACAACCAACAAAUUGGUUAUAGGGCAUAUUACUAAUAAUAAAAAUAAAAUAAAAAAACAAAUUAAAUGUACUCUACCACACCCCUAAUUAACUAAUGUAAACAUAAAUGUAAAUUAUGAAGUAUAGAAAUAAGAAUAAAAAUUGUACAAGGGUACUAACCUUAACAAGAUUGUAAAUUCGUAAUGGAACAUGAAGGGUUGAAUAACAACUUCACUUUUAUAUUAAGAAGAAUAAUAAAAAAAUUAAAAGAACUAAGCUCAAUUCUGCCUGAUCUCUAUGGUAGUCUAUUUAUAACCUAAAAUGUCCUAAAUCCUAGUUAGAGUUGGUUUAUCAAUAAUACUUCAACUUUGACAGGGAUAAAUUAACUUAUUCCUAACUUAACUAGGAAAACUAACUUAAUUAAAUAUGGGUUGCCUAAAAAUAUCCUAAUUAGGCCUAAAUAAUUCCUCAAUAAUAAGUAUGAAAUAAAUAUAAAAAUUACAAAACAAUCCACGAUGAAUGAGAAAAGCACAGGUUGAUGACCAAAACCACGGGUAGCUUUUUUUUGCAUAAGCUCUUAUGAUUGGUCUACGAGGCAUAGAUUAGUCUUCUUCCAGUUUGGCUUAGUUGAUGCCCUUGUCAGUUUACCUACAGAGGUGGACAAGAUACACAAUAUCUUUCAUGUAUCCAACCUAAGGAUUCUUCUCAUGCCAUUUUAACUGAGACAAUUAAUAUUCAAUUUGAUUUGGCUUGUAAGUAGCAACCAGUGAAAAUUUGAGCAUGGAAGAUAAAAGGAGAUAGGGAAUAAGUAGAUUCCACUAGUGAAGGUUCUUUAGAGAAAGCAUAAAGUAGAAGUGGCUACAUGCAAAAGUGAAUAAGUAAUGAGGCAGAAACACCCAUAGUUACUCGAGAAAGGUAAAUUUUAAGGAUAAAAUUUUUUAAGAAGAGAAGAAAUGUUGUUAGUAGAAUGCCCAAAAGCAUGCUUGUAAUAGGUAUAAUGAUUUAUUUUAAUGGAAUUCUUUAUUUAUUAGUACUCAUGAUUAAUUUUAUUUAUCAGAUUGAUAUCUUAAAUUAAUACUAAAAUUCUUAGUAUUAUAAAACAUAAUGUAGAGAAAAUCAUGAAGAGUUCAUGAUCUGAGAUUCUAUUAUAUAUAAAUAUGUUAAUACAUAAAUUAUCCCUAGCUAUAGUAUUAGUAUAAGAUAUUAUGGAUAGACUAACAUAUGUUAUACUGCUUAAGUGUUCAUCAAGCAGUAGUUCUCAUAAUUAAACUAAAAGUUUUGAUAUGCUUAGAUUUAAUAUAUCGACGCUUGUUUGAGAAAUAAGUACAUUUGAGACCCCAAAUAAUUGUGAAAUAAAUUAUAUAUAUCAUAUCAUAUCAACUAUGCAAAUAUCCUUAGAAUUGGGAUCAUCAAAGAUAUCUUAAGUAUAUAAGUACUAAACUUUGACAUAAUUGUUCAUACUUCAUCAUGGAGUCUUGAAAGCUGAAAGUUUAGAUAUAAUAUAUUAUACUUAAAGAUGAUUGAAUGAUUAAUAAAGGAUUCACCAAACUCAAAUAAUAAGUGAGGUACAGUUGUAUCAUUCUUGCAAUAAAUUUACGAUUAAAGUGUCAUAGUAGAUAAGAUUCAUGAGGACAUAAUUAGAAUGAAUAUUAUGAUUUUUCAAUAUAUAAAUAUAACAUAAAGAUUACAUUCAAUGAAGAUUGAUAUAAAAAGGUUAAAGGAGUUUAUUACAUAGUAACUGGAUAUGGAUGGGUUAUGGUAAAAUCACCUUUGAUCUUUUGACAUUUUGGUAGUUAUAUGCAUGUCUAGAUGCCUAUAAUAAUUACUUGUAACCCUUGGUUUUGUACUAUGUAUACAUGCAUAUCUAAGCUUGUAAGUGCUCAAUCAUGAGAAUUAUAUCAUUAUUCUAAUGAAUGAAAAUUAAAAAAAUAAAAAAUAGACAGAGAAUCAAAGAAAAGGAAAAAUUGGGCUUUGUCAUUUGUUUUUAGGUCUUUUCCAUAAGGCUUAAGGUUCAUUUGGACUUUAAGAAUAUGGGCCUAUGCUUAAAAAUUAUAAGGUGACAAAAUGGUCCACUUCCCUAGGCCUAUUCAGCCAAACAAACUUGCAAAAUGGAGCACCUCAGGAAGAAUAUAAUUAAAAGAUUAAUUGAACCAACAUCAAUCAUAUAUCAACCCAAACCCUAAAGUGGCAAGUCAUGUAUGUGUUUCAGAAUAAUAAAUAUAACAACUCUUACUCAUCUAUAAAAUAGCUGAGUAAAAGAUGCCACAUGUUAUACUAUAUAUAAUUAUAUAUGUAGACUUAAAUUAGCUUUUACAUUAUCAAUUAUUAUUUAAUUUAUUUAAAUAUAUGUUAAUUCAUAAAAACAAUUUUAAAUGGAGAAACUGCAAGACUCUCCCCUAUUUAUCAACAAUUAUCCCUAUGGAAAAAGAGUGAUAAAUUCUCAAGAUUUACUCAAUUCAUACUAUUAAAUCCAUAAAUAGAAUAUAUUAACUUAAAGUAGUAAAUUAUUGAUUCACAUUUUUACUAUUUUCAAAACUCAUUUUUACAAACUACUGUGAACUACUUAUGUACAUGCCAAAUAUAAACAACCACUAUACAAAACUUGAAAUUAACUGGUUAAACUCUUUUUGUGUGGAUAAAUAUUUUAAACUUUUAUGAUCUGUAUAGGCAUAACAUUUUUUACCAUACAGGUAAGGCUUCCAUAUCUUUAAUGUAAAGACUAUGGUUGCUAACUCUAAAUCAUAGAAAGAGCAGUUCUUCUCAAUUUUGGGUUUCCACUUCUCCUAUAAAAGCAUCUCUUUUCUUAAACCCUAAUCAUUCAUGAAUAAGUGAUUCAAGAACACAAAAAAUAAAAAAAUAAAAAAAACCCUAAGGCAACCAGCUACCCUCUCUCUAUCAUUUGAAAAUUCUCUCCUUUGAUCUAAGAAAGAAAAUCAAGACGCCUCCUUCCCUUCCACAGAGGUGUUUCUGCCCCUCCCGUCUAUGCAAUAUUUCUUUGCUUUUUUUUAAUCACUUUAAUGCAAUAUUUUUUCAAGAAAAUUAAUUCCUAGCAUAAAAACAUAUCCUUUAUAUGUUCUUCAAUUAAUAUGGAUGUGUUGGUCAACUCCCAUAAUAUUUGAUGUGAAUUUUAAGGGCAAUAUAAUUAUGUGCAUGAAUAGUUAGGAGCAACCUUUUUUUGGUUAGGAUGUGCAUCUCAAACAUAAUGGAUUUGGAGUCCUAAAAUAUUUUUAUGGAAUUCUUCAUGAAAUUGCCUAUGAUUUUCAUAUAUCGGUUGCUUUGUUCUAAAUUUUCUUGAUGCAGUUAUGAUUUUCAAAUAUUAAUGAGACAAUCACGUCACACUAGACUGUUUCAACAUUUGAUACAAUUUCAAUGACAUAACUUAACCUUCUGAUCCCCAAAUCAUGUGAUUAUUGAUCCUAAAAUUAAACUUGCAAAGCGAAAUGAAAACUCUAUUCUUUGAUUUUUUUUCACAUUAUGGUCUAUAAAAUAGUAUUAUAUUAGAUACAAAGUCGGUGUCAGGAAUCUAUUAUAAUUUAGAAUAAUUGAUUUGCGAUAGCUAUAACUCCCAAUUCACACAUCCUUUUUGCUUGAUUAUGUAUUAGUUUGCAAUUUUAUACAUAAUUUUACUUUUUCAUUGCCAUAAUUUGUCACAAUUAGGUAUGCCCUUUCAGUAGGCUUAUCUUGGUUCUUUAAUAUUCAUAAGUUCUUAUUUCUGAAUUUUAGUUGUUUUGAUUUUUAUUGAUGUUAUUAACAUGUUCUUUGGUAUUAGAACAAUAGGUAGAUGGAGGCUAAGGUUUCCUUAGGUAACCCAUUUAGGCCAAACUCCUUAAUUAGGAGUGUAUUUGUUUUAUUUUCUUAUUUCAUUAUGACUUAUUUUCUUUUAUUUUUUUAGACAUUAUUUUUUAUUUUAAUAUGGAUUAUGUUUUAUUUUAAAUAAUGAAAAAUUACUUUUUACUCUCUAAGAUAACAUAAUUAACACUUCUCUCCCUCUAUUUUGAGAACCCAACACAUAAGUCCCUCAUUUACUGUUCUGUCAAAACUCGCAGCCCUUCUAUAAAAAGUACCUGUUUGGUCUAGGAGUCUAAGGUGAGAGAUGAUAUUUUCUUAAAAAUAUGCCCUUAACAAACUUGUUAAAGACUCUCCAAUGUGAAAUCCCUAAAAAUUAUCUUCUCCUCUUUUGAUUCCCCUAUCUAUGACAUUGUUAGUACCAUAAUAUUUUUCAAAACCUUUAUUCUCCCUAAAAUCUUUUGUUUGCCUCAUGUAUUCUCUAUUUCCUUUUAGCUAUUAUUGUGAAUCAUCAUUUGAGAAGAAUAAUGUCUGUAUCAAGUGGGUCAGCUAGAUAAUAGGAUGGAAGACUGAAGAAUGUAAAUUGCAGAUGUUGCAAAUGGGUUGGGAUAAGGAUUUAUGAGUUAGCCGAUAACCCUAACAAGCUAUAUUAUUCUUGCUAAGAUAAUGUGUGUGCAAGUUUUUGUGGGUCAUUUGAACCUAUGAAUCAAAGGUCAACUCCAUCAAGUGGCAACAUUGACAUGUAUGAGGGAAGGAAAAUUGAAAAUAGAACACUUAUGGAAGAAAGGCUAGAGAAGGUAGUAGAAGAUAUUACAAAGGUGAAGAAUGGUUUGAAGAAGAUGAAGGAAGAAUAAAGAGCUACUAGAGAGGAGAUUGCAAAUAUUGGGGGAUUAUAUGUCAAUUGAGAACAAUUUAUAUUGGUUUCAUUUUUGUUGUAGUUAGAAUGGCUAUGAAAUUGAUUUGAAAGAAUAUGUAUCAUGUUUUUUUAUAAUAAAAUUGUCCUUUUAUUGUUAAUAUAUUUCUGUCAAAUUGUUGUAGUAUGAGUGUAAGGAAGUCCAGAGAUCACUGCAACCCAAAAAUACAUAGCGAAAAAAAUAAAAGAUCUCUAUUUUCCCUUUCAGGAUCCAAGUGCUUCAUUUAAUUCAAAAGGAAUGAUAAAAAACUAACCUUUUAGAUUUUAAAAAUCAUAUCAGGACUGAUGGUGCUGCUUUUGAAAUGAACACCCUCAAUGGUAUCCACUAUCUGGAGUGCUAACUCUCUGUACGGAUGGAUUAGCUAUGUGCUCAUAAUUUGCAACAUAGAAAAUGAUCACAAAAACUAUCCUCAUGCUUUCUAUAAAGCUCUCAAAGAAGGUGUUUUAUGUUCACUCAUUUUCUCCCAAAAACUUUUCAUUUUCACACUUUUCUUUUCAUAAAAGAGUUGUGGCAAUUGUAACAAGCACACAAUUGCAAAUACCAAUAUAUCUGUGCGAUAAGUCCUUUUAAAAAAAAAAUGAAAAAAUCUUUUGUCUGUAACCAUUAUAGAUAGGCUGCAGAUAUUAUUAUCUUAUAAUAAUUACAAACAAUUAAUAUUAAUAAUAAUAUUAAUAAUAAUAUAUUUAUUAAUAUUAUUAUUAAUUAUACUAACGGGCUCUUAGUUCAUUAAUAUGAUAUAGCACAUCAAUGACAUUCUAUUGUGUGUGACCCAAUAGGCUCACAUUAAUUGGCAACAUUUCUAGUCCAAUAAGACCCAUAAAUCAUAAGCGGCCUCUAGCAAGACGUUAUGACUACCCAAUUAAUAUGAAGAUCGAUAGUCCGAUAAAGCCUAAUAAACAGAACAUGUAUUAAUCCCUUUGUCACACGAUACCUAGUUUGAACAUAAGUCAUGGUCAAUGUAAAACUUAUAAUAUUCAAACUUAUCAUUUCUCGAUCUCUAAGUACUAAUAAAACCAAAUAAUAUUAAUCACAGUACCAAUUCAUUUGAGCACGGCCAUGCAUUUCUCAGUCUCACUUAGUGAGGGGCCAUGAAGAUAUCUUUCUCAAAGAGAGGAACAAAUUCUAUCUCGAUUAUUCAAUAUCCUCUACAUAAUUUCUAUUAUACUCAAUCAUAACCUUUAUAUUAUCCGAUUAAAGGCAAUGUUUGGUUAUGUCAAAACAUAACAGUCCUUAUGUUGGAAACUAUGACAAUCUCAAGUCAAAGAAUUAAAAUAUAACUAUCUUGAGAUUUACUUAUGACAAUAACCCAUGUAGUGAUUUCAGUGUGGGUCCAUCCAAUACUUUGUUCUCUAACAAGUAUCUAUAAUUAUUGAUUUAUAUCAAUAUACACAUAACCAUCUCAUGAUUAUCAAUCAAUAAUCAUAUUAGUCAUAUUUUAUUAUUAUCAUUAUAACAAUAAGUAACCAGGGAUGUUAAUCAUUAUUAUGUAAUAUGCAAACAAAUAAUAAUGAUAAUAAAACCUCUUUUAUUAAUAAACAAAAUGACAUACAAAAGGUCCAAGAUAAUGGCCUAGGACAAAUACACUAACAAUCUCUCACUUGUACUAGGCCUAAUCAUACAAAUAUCUAAUACUCAUAGGCCUAGUGUGUUGAUCAUGCUUGACCCGUGAGAGAGGCUUGGUCAGUGGCUCUGCAAUGUUGUCAUUUGUAUCUACCUUGCAUAUUUUGAUUCUCCUUUAUCAAUAAUCUCUCGAAUAAAGUGAAAUCGCCUGAGUAUUUGCUUAGAUCUCUGAUGAGAUAUAGGCUCCUUUGCCUAUGCUAUAGCACCAUUAUUGUCACAAUAAAGGUCCAUAAGAUUUGCAAUGCUAGGAACCACUCCCAACUUUGUGAUGAAUUUUUUCAACCAGACUAUCUCCUUAGCUGCAUCUGAUGCCGCUAUAUACUUAGUGUAACGACCCAAAAAUCGGACCGCUACCGGCGCUAGGAUCCAGAUCAGCUUAAGGCCGCCGGGACCCGUAGCAAGCCUGACAUAUAACCUAUGAACCUGUCAAAUCCCAUACAUGAUCAUACAUACUCAUAAACCUGUAAACUUUUCCUUUCCAUAAACCAAGCUCAACCUGUGCAUACUCAUAUCAUAACAUAAACCACACACUGGAGCCCUCAUCAAAUGCUCCAAUGGGGUAUCAUAACAUACAUGAAUUAAGCUUGGUUGAACAUAAACAUCAUAAAACAUUCUAUAGAUCAUGUAUCAAAAGGGGUUACUAUACAACUCGGUCAAGCACAAUUUCUAAACCUCAAUACAUCAUCAUUACAUAUCAUAACUGUAAAAUACAUUACAUUACAAUUUAAUCAUGUCCACUGCUAGCUAUUACAUAACCAAGACUUUAUUCUAUCCGACUUCCUGCUCUAUCCUGUACCUGCAAGCCUAGGGGUUAAAGGGAGAGGGGUGAGCUAAAAAGCCCAGUGAGUAGAACCAUAAAAACAUAUUAACAAACAUGCUCCAAUGAAAUGCAUCAUAACACAGACAAUUCACAUAAGGGUUGGGUGAACUUGUCACCAAAUAGUCCCAGCAUCAUUUGUGCCAGGCCAUAGCAUGGGGUCCUGGUCUUCCUGUCAUAUCAUACAUUACUUACCAUUGCCCCAGGGCCUCCUCUGGGCUCCUGGUCUUCGAGUCCCAUAUCCGUGCCAGGCCGUAGAAUGGGGUCCUGGUCUUCCCUCAGGGACUAAUUGGGUCAUCCAACAUUCACCCACAUCAACAAUAAAGAAUGCAAUGCAACAUAUUCGUGAAAUCUAAUGCAAUCAUCCUAUUGCAUACUCAUGAUGCAUGAAACAUGAUAAACAUUUAAUUUCUCAAUUUAAAAGAUUAAGUUUAGUUACACUCACCUUUGGUUGACUCUGACAACACCGAAGCACCUGAACUCACUGCUGGGGUCCUCGGUUCCUCGGGUCCGAACCUACACAGGUGGACUCAAAUGAGGGACCAAACAUACUAGAACAUGACUCUAAAAUAUUCCCCAAAAACCCCCUUAAAACACCUCAAAACAUCAUGGAAAAACAUGCAAAGGAGGGCUACACAGGGCACUUUCGGCGGCACCUUCGGCGGCCGAAAGUCCCUCUAGAGCCGAAAGUCAGGCAGGUUCGGCGGCCGAAAGUGCCCUUCAGAGACGAAAGUCUCUUUUCGGGGGCAGGCUUCGGCAGCCGAAAGGCUUGCCUCCCAGCCAUGUUCGGCAGUCGAAAGUCCUUCGGCUGCCGAACCUGGUUUCUGCCAAAGGGCAGAAACUUCAGCUCCUCAUGCACAAAUGCCUCCCAAACCUUCCAAACAUGCAUUUUUCCUAUUCUACAACAAGCAUACUCAAGCAUACAAGUUCCUAGGGGCUUCAACUAACUUAAACCCUAUCUACAACACAUCAAACAUCCACAUUGUUCAUAAACACAACAUAUACCCAUAAACAUAACAAUAACCUAAUCAUGCAUUUCUACCCCAUAGAUCUACUUAAAGCUUACUUAAAACAUACAAUGAGCUUAAGAUCGGCUCUUACCUCUUGAAGAUCGAGAGAGAGACGACCUAAACUCGGAGAUGGGAGGGGUUGAGUUUCUUUGAACCUCAAAGCUCCAAAACUCGCUCAAAUGCUCAAAAACUUCAAAACAAAGUGAAAACUCAUGAAAAUCUUGAAAGAUCUGAAGGAAGAAACUCAAGAUUGGUGAGGGAUGGCGGAGGGCUCACCUUGGCCAAAAAUGGGGAGAAAGCUCGCCCAUUUCAGCUAAGGGACCCCUUUAUAGUGGCUGGCCAGGCCACAUUCGGGAGCCGAACGUGCCUCCGCAUGCAUGCCAUGUUCGGCGGCCGAACUUGAGUUUCGGCGGCCGAACCUAGACUUUCCUCACUUAUGCCUUCGGGGGCCUAAAGCACUCCCGAAGUGCAUGUAUGUUCGGCGGCCGAACUUGGGGUUCGGCGGCCGAACCUGAGUUUUCCUCCAAGGCUAUUUUCAUGCAAAAACUCAUUUUCUUUCAUGCUUAAAACAUAAAACACAUUAAAACAUUUUAUGAAAACAUGGUUUUACCCUUCUAGAGGUCUCCGACACCCGAGAUUCCACCGGACGGUAGGAAUUCCGAUACCGGAGUCUAGCCGGGUAUUACAUUCUCCCCCCCUUAAGAACAUUCGUCCCCGAAUGUUCCUCAACUAGCACAUGCAAGGCAUACAACAUAUCAUACACAUAAAACACAUGAAACAUAUAAGAAGCUAACCUUAGAAAAGAUAAGGGCAUUGCUGGAGCAUGGACUCCCGUGUCUCCCAGGUGCAUUCUUCCAGAUUGUGGUGGUUCCAAAGGACUUUCACCAUCGGUAUUUCCUUGUUCCUCAACUUCCUGAUUUGAGUGUCCAGAAUCCGUACCGGCUGCUCAACAUAGGUGAGAUCCUCUUGGAUCUCCACAUCAGGCUCACUAAGAACCUUGCCCGGAUCUGACACGAACUUCCUCAACAUAGAAACAUGGAAAACGGGAUGGAUUCUUUCCAUUGAAGCAGGUAAAUCAAGCUUGUACGAUACAUUCCCAAUCUUUUGCAAGACUUCAAAGGGUCCGAUGUACCGUGGAGCCAGCUUACCUUUCUUCCCGAACUGAACCACUCCUUUCAUAGGAGACACCUUGAGCAAUACCAGGUCCCCCUCCUGAAACUCUACUUGCCUUCUGCGGAUGUCUGCAUAACUCUUCUGUCUGCUUGCAGCAGUCUUGAUUCUUUCUCUGAUUAAGGGUACCACCCUGCUGGUGAUUUCUACUAGCUCAGGCCCUGCCAAGGCCUUUUCUCCGACUUCUUCCCAGCAAAUAGGUGAUCUGCACUUCCUCCCAUACAAAGCUUCAUAUGGAGCCAUCUCGAUGCUAGCAUGAUGGCUGUUAUUGUAGGCAAACUCCACCAAAGGCAGAUGCUGCCUCCAAGAACCACCAAAGUCCAGCACACACAUUCUAAGCAUAUCCUCUAUUGUCUGGAUGGUCCUCUCCGACUGUCCGUCCAUCUGUGGAUGGAAAGCAGUGCUAAAAUCCAACCUGGUACCCAUGGCAUCCUGCAGACUCCGCCAAAACCUGGAGGUGAACUGGGGUCCUCUAUCGAACACUAUAGAAACAGGAACCCCAUGCAGCCUGACAAUCUCAUCAACAUACACCUGAGCUAAUUUGUCCACCGAAUAGCCACUCCUGACAGGGAUGAAGUGAGCAGAUUUGGUGAGUCUGUCCACAAUCACCCAUAUGGAGUCCAAUCUGUUGGACGUCGCCGGUAACCCCACUACGAAGUCCAUAGCUAUAUUCUCCCAUUUCUACUCUGGAAUAGGUAGCGGGUUAAGCAUUUCAGCCGGCUUCUGAUGUUCCAGCUUCACCCUUUGACACACUUCGCAGGCUGACACAAACUGUGCCACUUCUCUCUUCAUAGCUGGCCACCAAUAAACCUUCUUCAGAUCUUGAUACAUCUUGGUGGCUCCGGGGUGAAUGCUGUAUCUUGCAUUAUGAGCCUCUCUCAUAAUGUCUCCUUUUAGCCCUACGUCAUCUGGUACACACAAUCGACUCCCAUAGCGGAGGAUCCCCUUGUUGUCGAAUUUGAACUCACUGUCCUUGCCUGACUGAACAGUCCUGGCAAUCUUCACUAACUCUGGGUCCUCAUGCUGUUUCUGAGCCACCUGCUCCAGAAACAUGGGUGCCACUCUCAUCUGAGCAACUAAAGCACCUGUACCAGACAACUCCAACUGUAGACCUUCAUCAAUGAGCUUGUAAAACUCCUUCACCACUGGUCUCCUCUCCGCUGUGAUGUGGGAGAAACUGCCUAGUGACUUUCGGCUUAGGGCGUCUGCCACAACAUUUGCCUUACCCGGAUGGUAUUGAAUCUUGCAAUCAUAAUCACUUAGCAGUUCUACCCAUCUUCUCUAUCUCAAGUUCAAAUCUCUUUGACUCAGGAUGUACUGUAGGCUUUUAUGAUCUGUGAAGAUCUCACAUUUAACACCGUAAAGGUAAUGCCUCCACAUCUUGAGUGCAAAGAUAACAGCGGCCAUUUCCAGGUCAUGUGUGGGGUAAUUCAACUCAUGCUUCUUUAGCUGCCUAGAAGCAUAAGCAAUCACCCUUUCAUUCUGCAUUAGCACACAACCCAGACCCACUCGGGAUGCAUCACAGAACACUGUGAAGUCCUCAUUGCUAGCUGGCAGAGCUAACACUGGUGCUGACGUUAACCUCUUCUUAAGCUCUUCAAAACUCUCUUCGCACUGGUCGGUCCACACAAACUUCUAAUUCUUCCUGGUUAACCUGGUCAGAGGAGCUGCAAUUUUUGAGAAGUCCUGAACGAACCUCCUGUAGUAACCUGCCAAACCCAAGAAACUUCUGAUCUCUGACACUGAAGUGGGUCUAGGGCAGUUAGCCACAGCUUCUACCUUCUUGGGGUCUACCUCUAUUCCAUUUUCUGACACCACAUGCCCCAAGAAUGAAAUGCUCCUCAGCCAGAACUCACACUUGGAGAACUUGGCAUACAAGCCAUGCUCCCUCAAGGUCUGUAGAACCAACCUCAGAUGAUGGGCAUGCUCCUCUGCAUUUCUGGAAUACACCAAGAUAUCAUCUAUGAAGACAAUAACGAAGUGAUCCAGGUACUGGCUAAACACUCUGUUCAUGAGAUCCAUGAAUGCUGCAAGGGCGUUGGUUAACCCGAACGGCAUCACAAGGAACUCAAAAUGCCCAUAUCUGGUCCUGAAAGCUGUCUUUGGCACAUCUUCCUCUCUGAUCCUCAGCUGAUGAUACCCGAACCUCAGAUCUAUUUUAGAGAAACAACCCGCUCCUGCUAGCUGGUCGAAUAGAUCAUCGAUCCUUGGCAAAGGGUACCUGUUCUUUGUAGUGCUUUGUUCAACUGCCUGUAGUCGAUACAAAGUCUGAGGGAUCCAUCCUUCUUUCUUACAAACAAAACUGGAGCACCCCAGGGUGAGGUACUCGGUCGGAUGAAGCCCUUGUCUACCAGCUCCUGUAACUGCUCCUUCAACUCUUUCAAUUCUGCUGGCGCCAUCCUGUAAGGAGGGAUAGAGAUCGGUCGGGUUCCAGGCAUCAGUUCUAUCUCGAACUCUAUCUCCCUAGCAGGUGGUAAACCUGGCAGCUCGUCUGGGAACACAUCCAAAAACUCUCUGACCACCGGCACCGAGGCGGGCUCUCUAACCUGACUGCUAAGCUCUCUCACAUGAGCCAAAUACCCCUUACAUCCCCUCCUAAGCAACCUGCGAGCCUGAAGGGCUGAUAUCAGACCUCUAGGUGUACCCCUCCUGUCUCUCUGAAGACGACUGUAACGACCCGAAAAUCGGACCGCUACCGGCGCUAGGAUCCGGGUCGACUUAAGGCCGCCGGGACCCGUAGCAAGCCAAACAUACAUCCUGGAAACCUGUUUAAUCCCAUACAUGAUCAACAAACAUACAUAAAAAUUACAACUUUACUUUCCAUAUACAUCAACCAAACUCAACCUGUGCAUAUACAUAUACUUAACAUAAUCAUAACAUUGAUCCCUCCGUGGGAUCUCAUCAGUGCCCCCAAAGGGUGACACAACGUAUGCUGAGUCGGUUUACAUAAAGACAUAAAAUAAUCAAGAUCAUGUAUAAAAAGGGAUUACAACAUCUAUGGUCAAGCACACCUCUAAUCAUCCAUAAAUAUCAUUACAUAAUUAUACUGUACUUAAGACAUUACAUUACAAUUUGAUCAUGUCCAUUGCUAGCUAUUACAUAAACAUGACUUCUUUACUCUAUCCGGACUCCUGCUCUAUACUGUACCUGCAAACCUGGGGGUAAAGGGAGAGGGGUGAGCUAAAAGCCCAGUGAGUAGGACUAUAAAACAUAUUAACACUAUGCUCCAAUGAAAUGCAUCAUAACACAGACAAUUCACAUAAGGGUUGGGUGAACUUGUCACCAAUUAGUCCAAGUUAACAUAGUGCCAGGCCGUAGCAUGGGGUCCUGGUCUUCCUGUCAUAACAUACAUUACUUACCAUUUCCCCAGGGCCUCCUCUGGGCUCCUGGUCUUCGAGUCUCACAACCGUGCCAGGCCGUAGAAUGGGGUCCUGGUCUUUCCUUACAUAGUGCCAGGCCGUAGCAUGGGGUCCUAGUCUUCCUGUCAUGGACUAAUUGGGUCAUCCAACAUUCACCCACAUCAACAACAAUCGAUGCAAUGCGGCAUAUUCGUGAAACUAAUGCAAUCAUCCUAUGGCAUAAUCGUGAUGCAUGAAACAUGAUAAAACAUUUAAUUUAAAAGAUUAAGUUUAGUUCCACUCACCUCUGGCUGACUCUGACAACACCGAAGCAGCUG
RNAcentral lists this long non-coding RNA (16845 nucleotides) under Manihot esculenta (cassava). RNAcentral's name for it is "long non-coding RNA (MESC_LNC011000)". The record is from RNAcentral. Lineage: Eukaryota; Viridiplantae; Streptophyta; Magnoliopsida; Malpighiales; Euphorbiaceae.